UGGUUGGUGCUGACUGAAUCGACAGACUGAUUGCACUGCAGGUCAAGGCUUCAGUGAAUGGACAUACCAGGAAAGAGCAGGCUACAACAUUGGGUGAAUGGAAAACCAAAGUGGCAGAUCAUGGGCUGGGGAAUCCAUGGGACAACCGAGUUGCGGCCCUGAUUUGUUUUUGGCUGUUCUACCUUGCAGGGUUUGAAAAAAGGCCUUCUGCAGAAGGUAAUCGUGCCAAGAAAAUACAACAAAGACAGGGGGGUCAACACACUGUGACAAGAUGGAG
Girardinichthys multiradiatus is the source of this 277-nucleotide long non-coding RNA. RefSeq lists it as uncharacterized. The record is from RefSeq and is a predicted model, not a curated record. NCBI's taxonomy places the organism in Eukaryota, Metazoa, Chordata, Actinopteri, Cyprinodontiformes, Goodeidae. The transcript is spliced from 4 exons.